ACACACACACACACACACACACUUCUCUUAUUUCUUUCAUCUCUUUCCUCUUUCCCUCUCAUACUCCAUUAAAGCUUAAUCUUGAGCUUGAGCAACCCCCCUAAACUAGCCCUAAAACCCUUAGUUCUCUUAAUUAAAACUUGAAAUUUGACCUUGGUAAGAAGAGUGGUGAAGAAGAAAUUAAAAAGGGAAGUAGAAAAGUGAAGAUUUGAAAAGCUACAAGAGGUUAGUGACAAAUUCUUCAAAUUAUCUAUUGAAUUCUUGUUUAAGUAAUUGAUGUAAGUUAGAAAUUAACUUUAAAUGGAAAGAAAACAAUUAUGGAGGGACUAUAUAUGAGUUCAACCAGCUAGGGUUUAUGUUUGAAAUGGGUGAUUUGAUGCAAAUUAGAAAGUAGUUAAGUGAGAAUAAGUGAAUAAGAACUAAAUAUGCAUUUAUAAUUCAAAAAAUGAACUAAACAUGGAACUUAGAGUUUUGCACUUAGGGUUUAUGAACCAAAAAUGCAAGAAAUGAGUAAAUGGCAUGUUUGACCUAUUGUGAAGUGAAAAAUGGUCAAUUGUGACCAAAUGAGUUGUGUUUGAAUUGUUGGAAUGGAAGCUAAAUUCGGAGGGUGUAUGCAGCAUGACCAAGUCAACUUUGAAGGACCAAAACAAAAAUUUUACAAGUCCAAUUGAUA
Molecule: unclassified non-coding RNA, 673 nt
Filed under: Hevea brasiliensis (rubber tree)
Lineage: Eukaryota; Viridiplantae; Streptophyta; Magnoliopsida; Malpighiales; Euphorbiaceae
Source: RNAcentral